UACGUAGGGGGCAAGCGUUGUCCGGAAUUAUUGGGCGUAAAGAGCGUGUAGGCGGUCCGGUAAGUCAGCUGUGAAAGUCAAGGGCUCAACCCUUGAAUGCCGGUUGAUACUGUCGGGCUAGAGUCCGGAAGAGGCGAGUGGAAUUCCCGGUGUAGCGGUGAAAUGCGCAGAUAUCAGGAGGAACACCGGUGGCGAAGGCGGAUCUCUGGGCCGAUACUGACGCUGAGGAGCGAAAGCGUGGGGAGCGAACAGG
Molecule: ribosomal RNA, 253 nt
Filed under: uncultured bacterium
Lineage: Bacteria
Description: partial 16S ribosomal RNA
Rfam family: Bacterial small subunit ribosomal RNA
Source: RNAcentral